RNAcentral lists this ribosomal RNA (465 nucleotides) under Vreelandella stevensii. RNAcentral describes it as "partial 16S ribosomal RNA". It matches the Rfam family "Bacterial small subunit ribosomal RNA", at positions 338 to 795 of the family's 1533-position model. Lineage: Bacteria; Pseudomonadati; Pseudomonadota; Gammaproteobacteria; Oceanospirillales; Halomonadaceae. The record is from RNAcentral.
CCUACGGGUGGCAGCAGUGGGGAAUAUUGGACAAUGGGCGAAAGCCUGAUCCAGCCAUGCCGCGUGUGUGAAGAAGGCCUUCGGGUUGUAAAGCACUUUCAGUGGGGAAGAAAGCCUUGGGGCUAAUACCCUCGAGGAAGGACAUCACCCACAGAAGAAGCACCGGCUAACUCCGUGCCAGCAGCCGCGGUAAUACGGAGGGUGCGAGCGUUAAUCGGAAUUACUGGGCGUAAAGCGCGCGUAGGCGGUCUGAUAAGCCGGUUGUGAAAGCCCCGGGCUCAACCUGGGAACGGCAUCCGGAACUGUCAGGCUAGAGUGUAGGAGAGGAAGGUAGAAUUCCCGGUGUAGCGGUGAAAUGCGUAGAGAUCGGGAGGAAUACCAGUGGCGAAGGCGGUCUUCUGGACUGACACUGACGCUGAGGUGCGAAAGCGUGGGUAGCAAACAGGAUUAGAUACCCCAGUAGUC